Molecule: ribosomal RNA, 253 nt
Filed under: uncultured bacterium
Lineage: Bacteria
Description: partial 16S ribosomal RNA
Rfam family: Bacterial small subunit ribosomal RNA
Source: RNAcentral
GACGGAGGAUGCAAGUGUUAUCCGGAAUCACUGGGCGUAAAGCGUCUGUAGGUGGUUUAAAAAGUCUACUGUUAAAAAUUGAAGCUUAACUUCAAAGAUGCCGUAGAAACUUUUAAACUUGAGGAUGGUAGGGGUAGAGGGAAUUUCCAGUGGAGCGGUGAAAUGCGUAGAUCUUGGAAAGACCACCAAUGGCGAAGGCACCCUACUGGGCCAUGACUGACACUAAGAGACGAAAGCUAGGGGAGCAAAUGGG